UUCCCCUGCCUAAUAAUUUUUUGAAAUUUGGUGAAACAAGCUUGGCUGUUCCUUUAGGUUCCUGCUGUGCCUCUUCUGCUUGCCCAGAGCGCAGUGCUGCUGGUUAUCCCUCCCUCAUGGAAGCCACGGAGGCCUGACCCUGUGUGCUGGCUGCUGUUAAUGUUACUGACUCCAGCACCAGCUCCCAUGAAAGCCAGGCUGGGGCCCCCCUGCAGGAAGAUCCCUACUGGAGGAGACUCUGUGGCCGUGCAUCUGACAAGGAGAGAUGUUGGAUAUGCCUUCUCCCAGGCUGCGCUGAGUCCCUGGCACAUCCUCCAAAUGGUGUUUAAUCAGAAUCCAAGGUAGGGAGCAGACAGGUUUCACCUCUUUAAUCACCACCACUGAAGUAUUUCCACCAUACUGCAGUGCAGGGGGCAGAUUGUUUAUCCUUCCUGGAGCCAUCUCCACAUCUCCUUCAGUUGCCAAGGCACGGUGUUGGUAACAGGAGCAGACUUGGGCAUGACCAAGGAGGCCAAAGCUGGAGCUGUUACCUGGUCAGGAGGCUAAGGGGCACAUCCCCGGAUAUCCAGUGCCAGGAUACCCAGGAUACCCAGUGCCUUGAGACCCAGCAACAUCAUCUCUGGCCAUCAUCCAGAGCUGAGGGGUGAACGCUGCAGUUUUCCCUCUCACCCAGCCCUGGGAGAAGCACUGAGACCUGUACGUCAGAUCUGCUCCCUCCUCUCCCCAGGUGGAAAUGGGGAAGUAAAAACCUUAAUCCCUCCUCUCCUGGACACAAUGGGAAAGAGAAGCUGUCUUUGCUUUCCACUACCUUGCAGCUGAAAGGAGGAGGAGAAAAGUGAAUGUGGAAAGGGAGAAAGGAGAGGCUUUGGGCAUGGAGAUUCCCCUCAAUGACCACUCUGGAGUCUGCUGAAAUCUGAAAUGGGCACACUUGGGUGGGCAGUCUGCAGUGUGGCACCCCUGCUUGUAGGGAAAGCUUUUUCUGACUCAUACAGUAACAGUACAGGGCAAUCUGGGAAGGCAACCCAGGGAAAAAUCUGUCCCACCUGUGUUUGUGUCAGGGGUGUUGCUGGUUGUUAUUUAUAACAUUUAAUUAUUAUUUUUUAACUUGUCCCAGUUCUUCCCAGGCAGAGAAGGUCAUUUCAGCCAUUGCCCAGGAAAGAAGAUGGUGUUAAACUGGUAGAAAAAGAAAAAAAAAGCUAAAUUCCUGUGGGUUUAUUUUUUGUUUUCUUUAUUUUUUUCUUGGUUUUGCCAUUCUCACUUUUGUAAGCACUCCUACAUACCUCACACAAAUGAGAGUUGAACUUGGCAUUUAAAAAAACAAAGGGUGGAGCAGCACAGAAAAAUGGAGGUGAGCCUGUGUUAAUGAUUGGCAAAUAAAAACCCAAACAUUAAACCGAUUUCUUGUCAAAAAGCACCAGGAACGUGUGCCAGGGUGGUGGGCAGAGGGGGCAGGCAGCUGGGCAGGGGAGAACCUGGCAGAGGGAAUACCCUUUGCCCACAGCCCCUGCCUGUGUUUGUGUGAUGCCUGGCAUGGGAUGAGAGCCUUUUGGAGAAGGAAAAUCAGCCCUUGCUUACAGAUGGGAUGAGUGUGGGCACCAAACAGGACAUGCUGGUUCUGGAGAGGGUCACUUGUGGCAGCAGCUCCAGGUUUAUGGCCAUGAGUUGCCUCUGCAGUGUGUGAGAAUGGUCAGGGACACUGAAAGAGGACCACACCUAUGUCCUGUCUGUGGCCUGAGGUUGUCACCAUCAUAUACCUAAGCUGGGAGGAAUGGUUACUGCUGUGAAAGGAUGCAAAAUCAGGCAUAAAAUGGAAAGAAAUUACAAUUCUGUGGCAAGUUUCCUCUACUUCUUUUGCUCUCUCUCUAUGGUUAAAAAGAAGAAGUUGAGGGGCUUGGGGUCUUCCACAAGUGUUCACCUCAGGCUGUGGGCUCAAAACUUGCCCUAUUUAGAGUGCAAUUGCCUUACUUUGCUGUGGUCUGGUAUAACUGUGAUGUGGGAUGAACACACUCCUCUGCCCUGGCAGCAUGACCCUGCCCAGGAGUAAAUGACUGUGGCAGCUGUCAAGUAAAUGCAAUAAAAAAAUUAAAUAUAGCUGUUAACGCAUCUCUUUUUGCUUUGACUCUUAUAAUUAGGUCAGAUAGAGCAGCUACUAAUUUGAGUAGUUUCUGUGGUUCCCCUCAGACAGCCUUUUUAGCAGCAGUCCCUAAUUUUUAAUUGGGCUAUGGAAAGACAUUACCCUUUUCUGAGCCAUUUGCUAGACCUGCUCACCUCCACUGACAGUGAUACACAAUGUUACUGCACAGAAGCCAAAACCAACAAAUCAACAAACAACCCGUGGUCUCUGAUAAUCCAGGUGACGUAGGUAAUAAUUUACGGAAGACACUUGCAUGCUGGGUUUUUGGUCGUGACAAGCGAGCUGUGACUGUCAGGGUGCAUGCUCUGGCCUUUCACAGGAAUGGAGAUAAAGAUUUGAAUCUAGGACAUCCAGGGCUAGGUCAGCUCAAAGGUCCCUGACAAGGGUUUGUCUCUAGGAUGAAUGUAUGCCCCUUCCAUCAAAGGGUCCAACGCAGAGGUAGCUGUGUUGCACCAGGAUGCUUGCAGGGGAGUAAGGCUGGCUGUGCCAUCCCAUGCCACCCUAGAGCUCCUGAAUCUCCCAGCUGAACAAGACUCAUGAUUCAUGCAUCAUGAAAUCAAAGGGAGGCAACAUAGCUCUCUAAUCUGAUAUAUGUGAAGUACAAGCUGGGUGGCUUAUUAAUUCCAACUAGAGAAUGUUUUUUUUGUUUUUCCUUCUUUCAGAAAAAAAACCCCAAAAAACAAGUAAACAAACCAAAAAUUUGUGACUUAAUGGUUUCCAGCGAUGGAGAGUCCACAGCAUGACUAAGUUGUUGCAGUGCUUAAUUGUGCUGAUGAAGACAAUGGAGUUACUGUAAACUGAAGUUAUACUGCAUACAAAAUUUGGCCUAGUUACCCGAAAGGAGCAGCACUUUAAAGUCUCUGUAUGUCUUUAAAUAAAAUUAUUCUCCAGCAGAA
Non-coding RNA from Taeniopygia guttata (zebra finch), 3030 nucleotides. The record is from RefSeq and is a predicted model, not a curated record. NCBI's taxonomy places the organism in Eukaryota, Metazoa, Chordata, Aves, Passeriformes, Estrildidae.